Molecule: non-coding RNA, 2146 nt
Organism: Microcebus murinus (gray mouse lemur)
Lineage: Eukaryota; Metazoa; Chordata; Mammalia; Primates; Cheirogaleidae
Source: RefSeq, a predicted model, not a curated record
AGCUGUUGCCUGAACGCCGGAGCGCUCCCCUCUCGCCGCUUGCCUCGCCCAGCGCAGCCCCGGCCGCCGGGCGCACCCGUCCCGUUCGUCCCCGGACGUUGCUCUCUGCCCCGGGAACGUCGAGACUGGAGCGCCCGAACUGAGCCACCUUCGUGGACCCCGAGCGCGGCGGCCCGACUCACCGCGGAGGCGCCCGGAGGCGUAAAGUGCGUACUUUCAACCGUAAAUGUGUGUUGAGGCUUUUAGGGGUGCGGGGCAACUCCCAAACUACGUGGGGCCCUGGCCAGCUCUGGCCAGCCCUGCCGCCGCGUCCAAGACCUUCUGAUACCUCGCUGCGCUUGGCGCGGGGUCGGCGACUUGGGCUCCGGAGCCGCGGGGCGGCGGGGCGGGGCAGUGCCUUGACCUAGGUCCCCAUAGGCCGGCAGCAGGUCUCCCUUCGCCUUGGGCCGCUGUGUCCCCCGGGGCAAGGCCUGGGUCAGGUUGCAGCGGUUUGUCCCCGGUUUGGAGAGCUGAGCUGCCUAGGACGCUUUCGCAGUCGCGGGGUCUUGUCUGGAGCGGCGGGGCUUGAGCCAGAGUCCGAGACUGCCGCCACCGCCUGCGUCCCGUGCGCCUGCCGCCCAGGUACCAGCUGCCUAAGUUCUCGGACAGAGACAGCGCUUGCUCCCAGGGCCGAGGUAGGAGCUGGCUGGGCCCUACAGGGUGCGGGCGAAUCGCUUUCGGCAGCGAAGGAACAAGUUGGGAGAAGUCAACUGCAGGACAAGGGCCCCAGCGGGCGCGCAAAUAGGCACCCGCCUUGGGCAUAUGUCUUCCCCUCCGGUUUGCUUUUGGGGCCCUGGUAAGACCCUCUGCCGCGUGAGCUCCCCACAAGACCUGUGUCUUCCUGCAGGUCAAGCCCUUGAGUGUGCGUGGAGGACGCGAGGGGGGCACUGUGUGUGUUCCCUUUUCCCUCUCUCCAGUCGGGCGAUUCCUGUGCUGUCUGGGGCAGGGGGCACACACCCGGGAACCUCCUACCUACGGGGAGCCAGCCUGCUUUCUCCUCUUCUUAGUGCCCCCAAACUGCCCCUUGCCACCUGAGUAGGGGUCUUUCUGGUGGGCUGUCCAAUCCUCCGUUAGCCAAACCUGUUUGGGGGAUACACUUGCCUGCCCCCACUGUGGCAGAGCACCUCAGAGUUAGCAGAUCCCCCCUUCUCUGCUCCCUUUUCUUCGGAGGGAGAAGUAGAGAGAGGCCUACUCGGCAGGCCUUUGAGAAGAUAUUGGGGGGACUUCUGAGGUUGCUUUCUCCUGGGCAGGGACAGGGGGAUGUCGGGGGUUCCAGAUUUUGUUGGACAAUCUCUCAAGCCCUGACUCCUUGGUUUCUGGGAGGUGCCAGUGUCGGGCUUGUGUCCUGCUCUGCCUACACAGCCCUCAGGGUGGGGACAUGGGGUGGUUCCCCAUGACCCCUUCCCACAGUCAGUUUCAGAAAAUGAAUAAGCUGCCUUGGGCUGGGAGAGCCUUUCUGUGCUGCCUGGGAUCUGCUGGGGUGGGGUGUGUGUGUGUGUGUGUGUGUGUGUGUGUGCACACAUGUGGGUGUGUGUUGUGUGCAUUUGCCUGUGAGUGCGUGUGUGCUUGAGUGGAAGGCAUGGUCUGGGCAGAUGUAAGACGGGUCCCUCUGGGGGCCCAGCCCAAGCGGUAGCAGCAGCAGGCCCAUGCUCUUCUAGCCUUGGGCACGCUCAGGAGAGCAACGCUUGUUCUUAGGGCUGUCACUUGUUCUGGCUGAUCUGUUGCUGUUUCUUGGGCAGACAGACUACAUUCCACACCUCAGGAUUCCAGAACAUUGGACAAGGCGCUCAGGCCCAUCUGGCUCCCACAGCCUGUUGUGCAGUAGCCCUCCGCGCUCCCUGCAGGACCUUCUGAGGCUGCAAAGAGGAGGUGGUCCAGCCCCCACACCUGGAGAAGAGACUUGGAGAACUACAGCUCUCCGUCCUCCCUCAGCUGUCCUCCACCGCUGCAGCCUGGACAGCAGCUGUGUGUCACCGCUGGUUUCCGUGUCUGCCGCCCACUCCAGACCUGCCCCUCCCAGGCUGGCCAAGCCAGGAUCCUCUGCAGUGACAAACCGGAACCAGCGCCAGGGAGACGCCCAAUAAACCUUUGUGAAAUGAGUAAAUCA